This 484-nucleotide ribosomal RNA is filed under the name uncultured bacterium. RNAcentral's name for it is "partial 16S ribosomal RNA". It matches the Rfam family "Bacterial small subunit ribosomal RNA", at positions 29 to 507 of the family's 1533-position model. The record is from RNAcentral.
AUUGAACGCUGGCGGCAUGCUUUACACAUGCAAGUCGAACGGCAGCGCGGGCUUCGGCCUGGCGGCGAGUGGCGAACGGGUGAGUAAUGCAUCGGAACGUGCCCAGUAGUGGGGGAUAGCCCGGCGAAAGCCGGAUUAAUACCGCAUACGACCUGAGGGUGAAAGCGGGGGACCGAACGGCCUCGCGCUAUUGGAGCGGCCGAUGUCGGAUUAGCUAGUUGGUGGGGUAAAGGCUUACCAAGGCGACGAUCCGUAGCUGGUCUGAGAGGACGACCAGCCACACUGGGACUGAGACACGGCCCAGACUCCUACGGGAGGCAGCAGUGGGGAAUUUUGGACAAUGGGGGCAACCCUGAUCCAGCCAUGCCGCGUGCGGGAAGAAGGCCUUAGGGUUGUAAACCGAUUUUGUUCGGGAAGAAAUCCUCUGGGCUAAUACCCCGGGGGGAUGACGGUACCGGAAGAAUAAGCACCGGCUAACUACGUG